RNAcentral lists this ribosomal RNA (497 nucleotides) under uncultured bacterium. RNAcentral's name for it is "partial 16S ribosomal RNA". It matches the Rfam family "Bacterial small subunit ribosomal RNA", at positions 28 to 507 of the family's 1533-position model. The record is from RNAcentral.
GAUGAACGCUGGCGGCGUGCCUAAUACAUGCAAGUCGAGCGAACGGACGAGAAGCUUGCUUUUCUGAUGUUAGCGGCGGACGGGUGAGUAACACGUGGAUAACCUACCUAUAAGACUGGGAUAACUUCGGGAAACCGGAGCUAAUACCGGAUAAUAUUUUGAACCGCAUGGUUCAAAAGUGAAAGACGGUCUUGCUGUCACUUAUAGCUGGAUCCGCGCUGCAUUAGCUAGUUGGUAAGGUAACGGCUUACCAAGGCAACGAUGCAUAGCCGACCUGAGAGGGUGAUCGGCCACACUGGAACUGAGACACGGUCCAGACUCCUACGGGAGGCAGCAGUAGGGAAUCUUCCGCAAUGGGCGAAAGCCUGACGGAGCAACGCCGCGUGAGUGAUGAAGGUCUUCGGAUCGUAAAACUCUGUUAUUAGGGAAGAACAUAUGUGUAAGUAACUGUGCACAUCUUGACGGUACCUAAUCAGAAAGCCACGGCUAACUACGUG